RNAcentral lists this long non-coding RNA (555 nucleotides) under Callithrix jacchus (white-tufted-ear marmoset). RNAcentral's name for it is "lncRNA (ENSCJAG00000075613.1)". The record is from RNAcentral. Lineage: Eukaryota; Metazoa; Chordata; Mammalia; Primates; Cebidae.
CACAGAGACUCCAGCGCAGCGAUGUGGUGGAAGAUUUAUAGACACAAAAUGCGAAAUAAGGUACAGAAAUCGGGAUUGAGGUCCUUUGUGCAAAGCUGUGUCCACACCCAAAGUCUGAAGUGGCUCCAUUCACAAGCUUACAUGGAAUUUGGACUUGGUCAUCUUUCAUUUCGAGAAUAUGCGGAUGAAAUGGAAGCUUGGGAAGAUGGGGGGACCUGACCACAAUUACGGCAAGUCCACAUGAUUGAAUCUGUGUCUUGAAAACAGGUCAUCUGAUGCUGGGGAAUGAUUUUUUUCCACCACAGCGUACUUUCUUUCACUUCUCACAUGAUGUAUUUUCUGCAGUUUCCCUUGCUACUUUGGCUUUUUUCUUUUAGUCUGUGGUCAUUGUCAAUAAUUUCUUGGAAGUGACUUGAACCGUGUUCAGCAUUUCAGAUGUGACCUGCCUCACACCACACAUUUUGAUGUCUGCUCAUUGUUUCCAAAUUGCUACAUGAUACUGGUCAAAUUGCUUUACCUCUCUAGUGCUUGGUUUCUUUAUUUUCAAAAGAAGGG